This 253-nucleotide ribosomal RNA is filed under the name uncultured prokaryote. RNAcentral's name for it is "partial 16S ribosomal RNA". It matches the Rfam family "Bacterial small subunit ribosomal RNA", at positions 524 to 776 of the family's 1533-position model. The record is from RNAcentral.
UACGGAGGAUCCGAGCGUUAUCCGGAUUUAUUGGGUUUAAAGGGUGCUCAGGCGGGCCAUUAAGUCGGCGGUGAAAUUUUGCGGCUCAACCGUAAAAGUGCCUUCGAAACUGGUGGCCUUGAGUGUGGAUGAGGUAGGCGGAAUUUGUGGUGUAGCGGUGAAAUGCAUAGAUAUCACGAGGAACUCCGAUUGCGCAGGCAGCUUACUAAGCCAUAACUGACGCUCAAGCACGAAGGCGUGGGGAUCAAACAGG